RNAcentral lists this ribosomal RNA (411 nucleotides) under Nectophryne batesii (Bates' tree toad). RNAcentral describes it as "partial 16S ribosomal RNA". It matches the Rfam family "Bacterial large subunit ribosomal RNA", at positions 1857 to 2484 of the family's 2925-position model. Lineage: Eukaryota; Metazoa; Chordata; Amphibia; Anura; Bufonidae. The record is from RNAcentral.
GCCUGCCCAGUGACCACAUUAAACGGCCGCGGUAUCCUAACCGUGCAAAGGUAGCGUAAUCACUUGUUCUUUAAAUAUGGACUAGUAUGAACGGCCCCACGAGAGCUUGGCUGUCUCCUUUCUCUAAUCAGUGAAACUAAUCUCCCCGUGAAGAAGCGAGGAUAAAUCUAUAAGACGAGAAGACCCUAUGGAGCUUUAAACAACACAUCAUUUACCACUAAAAUUUCUUUAACUAAAUCAUUGGACAACAUGACUGUACGUUUUUGGUUGGGGUGACCGCGGAGUAAAACAUAACCUCCACAUUGAAUGAUUCUUAAACCAAGAACAACCUAUCUAAGAAUUACUAUUAUAACACCCAUUGACCCAAUACACUUGAACAACGAACCAAGUUACCCUAGGGAUAACAGCGCA